CGCGGUGGGUUAUGGGACUGCGGUGUGGUAAAAGCGCAGAUAGACCCACAGAUGUACCUCUCCCUGGCACGUUCUCUCCCCACCGACUUCCCUCCCUUCUAAGGGUUUCUCAAGGAAGAAAAGUAUGAAUUGCAACUGGAGCUGCAGUUAACAAGAAAAGCCUGGACACCGUUUUUCCUGCCUGAGUCACAUCUGCUGCCUUGUGCCAGGGGAAAGCUGGUGAGAUAGUAAAAGGAGCGUCAGAACAGCAUGCUGUACUUUUUUUCCUGGUUUUCUUGAGGAACAACAUUAUGGCCACUUUGUGAUUCUCCAGGCUGCUGCUCCCCAGCGCCGAGUUGCAAGCAUAGGGUUCAGAGGUAUUCCCCCACUGUUUCCACCCUUGUCACCACACCGUUUGCUUCUCGGGCCUUUGCUUGGCCAUCCAGCCCUGAUGAGAGGUUAUAAACUCCAGCAUGAGAAGCGGUCCACCUUCCCUCGCUCAGGAAGGUUUCCUGAAGAAUAAAGAAAAGGAUUCCUUGCUCGGAGUUUAAUGACCACGGGUCAUCAUAUAUCACAAAAGCUUGGUCUUCGAGGAAAAGGUUGGAUUUCAGUCUAAAGAGGAUGGUUAAGCGCCUCAGAGAGAAGUGAUCUAACCGUCAUGUUUGACUCAGUUUUAGAGCUUUUAAUCCACUCCCUCUUCUCUAGAGAUUGUACCCCUGUGUUUGCGCGGAAAAACUAGUGAUUUGCUUUUUUUCUUCUUUUUUUCCCUUUUUUUUUUCAUAUAAGAGAGAAAUAAAUAAGCAGAGCUACAAACAUACAGUGCUUGUUGAACAGAUACCAACUGACUUUUUCAGGGGACAAGAUGUCUGUGGGUGCAAGUUAACUUUCAGCUGCGCCCUGCACACUCCACCAUUACAGCA
Molecule: long non-coding RNA, 899 nt
Filed under: Chinchilla lanigera (long-tailed chinchilla)
Lineage: Eukaryota; Metazoa; Chordata; Mammalia; Rodentia; Chinchillidae
Description: lncRNA (ENSCLAG00000025001.1)
Source: RNAcentral